CAGCUCCCACAGAAGCAGCAGAAAGUAAUCAAGGAGGAGAAAACAGCAACCGAACUGGAUGUUUCACGGAAAAUAGAAUUCCACCAAACCAGAUUGGAAGAGCAC
Molecule: long non-coding RNA, 105 nt
Organism: Lynx canadensis (Canada lynx)
Lineage: Eukaryota; Metazoa; Chordata; Mammalia; Carnivora; Felidae
Exons: 3
Source: RefSeq, a predicted model, not a curated record